Molecule: RNA transcript, 687 nt
Organism: Phyllostomus discolor (pale spear-nosed bat)
Lineage: Eukaryota; Metazoa; Chordata; Mammalia; Chiroptera; Phyllostomidae
Gene name: gamma-aminobutyric acid type A receptor subunit rho3
Exons: 3
Source: RefSeq, a predicted model, not a curated record
GAGUUUUGCAAGAGUCGGUGGAAAGCCUGUGGCUGAGACAGCUGAUUUCGGAGUCAUCCUCUCCUAGGUCAAGUGUCUUAGAGCCACCAUCCUGCUGCAGGAAUGUGAACUCUCCCUCUUAUAGUUCAGUGACCCACAGACGAAUACCCCUCAGGUCUCCAGUGGCAGUGGGAAUAGACACCCAGAUUAAAAGCACUGACAGCAUUUCAGAAGUUAACAUGGAUAACUGUUUAUGCCAUGUGCUUUCUGGAUGUCAGCAGGUUUCCCCUUGACACUCAGAACUGUCCCCUAUGCUGGAAAGCUGUACGUCUCACGUCCGGUGGAGGGCGCAUGUGGUCAGAGCCUACCGUCACAAACCUGCACAUGAAAUCCGCACCUGAAUCCGUGCUUGCAGGGAUUUAAAAAUCUGAUAGAAGUUAAACUAUUUAUCCAGAAUAUGUAGUUGCUUUUUAUUUCUUUUACAAGGAUGAUGGCAAAUUCUCUCAAAUGAGAAGAUUUAGGGGAAAAAUUAUGCUUUGAUAAUUAUACACUUUUUGUUUUCCACAAUGGUUAUAAAGAAACAGCUCCCUAUGAAGGUGUAUUCUCGUUAACAGAGACUGGCACAGACUUUGCAAGUUUGGAAAACUCUGGAAUUAAUGUUCCCAUGAGUUACAAUCUUUCAUUAAGUGCACUUGGGUUCCCCACAAA